This 744-nucleotide ribosomal RNA is filed under the name uncultured bacterium. RNAcentral describes it as "bacterial SSU rRNA". It matches the Rfam family "Bacterial small subunit ribosomal RNA", at positions 94 to 823 of the family's 1533-position model. The record is from RNAcentral.
AGCGGCGGAUGGGUGAGUAACACGUGGGGAACCUGCCCCUAAGUCUGGGAUACCAUUUGGAAACAGGUGCUAAUACCGGAUAAUAAAGCAGAUCGCAUGAUCAGCUUUUGAAAGGCGGCGUAAGCUGUCGCUAAGGGAUGGCCCCGCGGUGCAUUAGCUAGUUGGUAAGGUAACGGCUUACCAAGGCGACGAUGCAUAGCCGAGUUGAGAGACUGAUCGGCCACAUUGGGACUGAGACACGGCCCAAACUCCUACGGGAGGCAGCAGUAGGGAAUCUUCCACAAUGGACGCAAGUCUGAUGGAGCAACGCCGCGUGAGUGAAGAAGGUUUUCGGAUCGUAAAGCUCUGUUGUUGGUGAAGAAGGAUAGAGGUAGUAACUGGCCUUUAUUUGACGGUAAUCAACCAGAAAGUCACGGCUAACUACGUGCCAGCAGCCGCGGUAAUACGUAGGUGGCAAGCGUUGUCCGGAUUUAUUGGGCGUAAAGCGAGCGCAGGCGGAAAAAUAAGUCUAAUGUGAAAGCCCUCGGCUUAACCGAGGAACUGCAUCGGAAACUGUUUUUCUUGAGUGCAGAAGAGGAGAGUGGAACUCCAUGUGUAGCGGUGGAAUGCGUAGAUAUAUGGAAGAACACCAGUGGCGAAAGGCGGCUCUCUGGUCUGCAACUGACGCUGAGGCUCGAAAGCAUGGUAGCGAACAGGAUUAGAUACCCUGGGUAGUCCAUGCCGUAAACGAUGAGUGCUAAGUGU